UAAAGUACUCCAUCAUGUCGGGGUGGGGGGAGUACCUAUACAAAUCACGUAUUAGCUCAAUAAUAAACGUUGUGUUUGCAUGGUUCUGUGUUAAUUGUACUAAUAACCAGAAUGUGUUUUUAUGGAGAUGGGAAGGUUUAUUUCGUCCGUAACAGAGGGGGAAGAAUAUUAUCGACGCACACCGUCUACAGCUAGCUAUCCGGAGACGAGCUAGCUAACACACUAGCUAACAAAAAACUCUGCUUUUCAACUUUUAACGUCAUGGGAGAAAAACCGUUGAAGAUCCUCGCAUGUGGUGACGUGGAAGGAAACAUUAAUGCUGUGUUUAACCGCGUCCGAACCGUCCAGAAGAAGAGCGGCCAGUUUGAUCUGUUGCUCUGUGUAGGAAACUUCUUCGGUUCCUCUCCAGAAGCUCAGGCUGAAUGGCAGGAGUACAAAUCUGGAGCAAAGAAAGCUCCCAUCCACACCUACAUCCUGGGAGCAGCCAGCCAGGAAACCACCCGCUUCUUCCCCAGUGCUGACGGCUGUGAGCUGGCUGACAACAUCACCUACCUGGGUCGUCGAGGUGUUUUCUCCGGGGCGUCAGGCCUGCAGAUAGCGUAUGUGAGUGGUCGUGAAGGACGUCUGGACCCGACUCCAGCUCACUGCUUCUCUCCUGAAGACCUCCAUCAGCUGGUGGAGCCGCUGAUCAACAACAACCAGUUCAGAGGAGUGGACAUCCUGCUGACGUCACAGUGGCCCCGCGGAGUCUGGCAGUACGCCAACAGCCCCGAAGUGAACACUAAGUUGUGUGGAACGAGCUCCAUCUCCCAGCUGGCCUACAAGCUGAAGCCCCGAUACCACUUCGCUGCUGUAGAGGGAGUUCACUAUGAGAGACGACCUUACAGAAAUCAUGUUGUUCUUCAGGAGAACACUCAGCACGUCAGCAGAUUCAUCGCCCUGGCAACCGUCAACAACCCAGAGAAGAGAAAGUACCUGUAUGCCUUCAACAUUAUCCCGAUGAAAAGCAUGGAGUCAUCAGAACUGGUGAAACAGCCUCAGGAUGUCACUGAAAACCCUUACAGGAAGAUGGUUGGAGAGAAUACUCUAUCAGACCCUACUGUCCAGGAGCCUGCAUCUCAGUUCUUCUUUGACCUGGGGAAGAAGCAGCGUGGGGGGGGCCGUGGCAGGAAGAGGCCCUCAGACGGAGACGGGCAGAAUCAAGGACAGCCGUGGGAUCCAGACAGGCAGAGUCAGAGACCGCCCUUUGAUCUAGACGGGCCUAAACAACCUCGCAGGCCGCCCCAGCCCAGCGGUCCCUGUUGGUUCUGUCUGGCCAGCCCUCAGGUAGAGAAACACCUGGUCAUCAGCAUUGGUACCCAUUGUUACCUGGCUCUAGCUAAGGGCAGUCUGACCCCUCAGCAUGUGUUGGUACUGCCCAUCGGUCACUACCAGUCAGUAGUGGAACUGAGCUCUGAGGUGGUUAAAGAACUGGACCGAUACAAGAUGGCUGUCAGGACCUUCUAUAAGAGCAAAGGACAGCGCUGUGUUCUGUUUGAGAGGAACUACCACAGCCAACACCUGCAGAUACAGGCAGUACCGGUGCCGGAGGAUAAAUGUACCACUGAAGAUAUUAAAGAAGCCUUCAUGCUGCAGGCGCAGGAUCAGAACAUGCAGCUGAUGGAGAUACCAGAGCAUACAGACCUGGAACAGAUUGCUCCUCCAGGGACACCGUACUUCUACGUGGAGCUGGACUCUGGAGAGAAGCUCUUCUACCGCAUUCAGAGAAACUUCCCUCUGCAGUUUGGCAGGGAGGUGUUGGCCAGCGAGUCGGUCCUGAACAUCCCAGAGAGGGCGGACUGGAGAGGGUGUAAACAGACCCCAGAGGAAGAGGAGAGUCUGAGCAAACAGCUACGAGACGACUUCCAACCAUACGACUUCGCUCUGGAAGACUGAACACCUUCACACACACUGUACCGUACAGUAGGGGUGUAAUGGUAUUCACACUACCGUACAGUAGGGGUGUAAUGGUAUUCAUACUGAACCAUACAUUGUACCGUACAGUAGGGGUGUAAUGGUAUUCACACUGAACCAUACAUUGUACCGUACAGUAGGGGUGUAAUGGUAUUCACACUACCGUACAGUAGGGGUGGAAUGGUAUUCACACUGAACCAUACAUUGUACCGUACAGUAGGGGUGUAAUGAUAUUCACACUGAACCGUACACUGUACCGUACAGUAGGGGUGUAAUGGUAUUCACACUGAACCGUACACUGUACCGUACAGUAGGGGUGUAAUGGUAUUCACACUGAACCAUACACUGUACCGUACAGUAGGGGUGUGAUAGUAUUCAAUCUGAACCAUACAUUGUACCGUACAGUAGGGGUGUAAUGGUAUUCACACUACCGUACAGUAGGGGUGUAAUGGUAUUCACACUGAACCAUACAUUGUACCGUACAGUAGGGGUGUAAUGGUAUUCAUACUGAA
This is a non-coding RNA of Salmo salar (Atlantic salmon), 2465 nucleotides long. The record is from RefSeq and is a predicted model, not a curated record. NCBI's taxonomy places the organism in Eukaryota, Metazoa, Chordata, Actinopteri, Salmoniformes, Salmonidae.